Vicia villosa (hairy vetch) is the source of this 294-nucleotide long non-coding RNA. RefSeq lists it as uncharacterized. The record is from RefSeq and is a predicted model, not a curated record. Lineage: Eukaryota; Viridiplantae; Streptophyta; Magnoliopsida; Fabales; Fabaceae. The transcript has 2 exons.
CAUAUGCAAUCAUUAUUGAGACUUUUCAAUUUUCUAUGUUUCCUGUAAAACAUAAAAACACAUGAAGUCCAUUUCAAAACAACAACAUCUCAUCUUCCAAGUUUCAAGUAUGCACCACUUAUAUAUGUUGUUGUUACUUAUGGGGGGAAUGAAGGGGAUGGAAUGCGUGAUCAAGGUGUGAGUUGGCUUGAGGGAAAAAUGUGAACCAAAACUUACAAAUAUUUCUUUUGCAAUUUUGUUUGUUUUGUACCGUAAUCUUCAUUUUUACUAAUGUAAAGUACUUCCUUAUGCAAA